GACGAACGCUGGCGGCGUGCCUAAUACAUGCAAGUUGAGCGCUGAAGGUUGGUACUUGUACCAACUGGAUGAGCAGCGAACGGGUGAGUAACGCGUGGGGAAUCUGCCUUUGAGCGGGGGACAACAUUUGGAAACGAAUGCUAAUACCGCAUAAAAACUUUAAACACAAGUUUUAAGUUUGAAAGAUGCAAUUGCAUCACUCAAAGAUGAUCCCGCGUUGUAUUAGCUAGUUGGUGAGGUAAAGGCUCACCAAGGCGAUGAUACAUAGCCGACCUGAGAGGGUGAUCGGCCACAUUGGGACUGAGACACGGCCCAAACUCCUACGGGAGGCAGCAGUAGGGAAUCUUCGGCAAUGGACGAAAGUCAGACCGAGCAACGCCGCGUGAGUGAAGAAGGGUUUCGGAUCGUAAAACUCUGUUGGUAGAGAAGAACGUUGGUGAGAGUGGAAAGCUCAUCAAGUGACGGUAACUACCCAGAAAGGGACGGCUAACUACGUG
Molecule: ribosomal RNA, 497 nt
Filed under: uncultured bacterium
Lineage: Bacteria
Description: partial 16S ribosomal RNA
Rfam family: Bacterial small subunit ribosomal RNA
Source: RNAcentral